Molecule: non-coding RNA, 71 nt
Filed under: uncultured Nitzschia
Lineage: Eukaryota; Bacillariophyta; Bacillariophyceae; Bacillariales; Bacillariaceae
Source: RNAcentral
CUGAAAAGAAGAAAAAGAAGAGAGAAGAGAGAGAAAUGAGUAUAUGAUAUUCUGUUUUUUUUUGUCAUUUU